Molecule: non-coding RNA, 281 nt
Organism: Pelobates cultripes (western spadefoot toad)
Lineage: Eukaryota; Metazoa; Chordata; Amphibia; Anura; Pelobatidae
Source: the annotation of a GenBank genome assembly
CAAUAUCUGGGGCACCGGGUAAGGAGUGGACAGCAAAAGCCCGAACCAGCAAAAAUCAAAGCACUAGCUAAGUGGCAUACCCCCGGACAAAAACCCAAGUGUUAGCCUUCCUGGGUACCGCAGGGUACUACCGAAAAUUCAGACCCAAUUAUAGCGCCCUGGCCAAACCCCUGACUGACUUGACCAGCAAAAACCUUCCUCGACAGGUCAUCUGGGCCCCAGAGUGUGAUCAGGCAUUCCAACAACUCAAGACUGCUUUAACCAAUGCACCUGUACUUGCU